This 657-nucleotide ribosomal RNA is filed under the name Funneliformis mosseae. RNAcentral's name for it is "LSU rRNA". The record is from RNAcentral. Lineage: Eukaryota; Fungi; Glomeromycota; Glomeromycetes; Glomerales; Glomeraceae.
ACGAUAGUCGGGAAAAACCUCUUGAGUUUGGUCCUCGUGGGUUUCGAAGAAGUUUUAAAAGCCUUCGGAUUCGCGGGAUUGGGAUCUCUUGGUGUACUUUUUCGUACGGUUAGUCAACAUCGGUUUUGAAUGUCAUAAAAUGACUGGAGGAAUGUAGCUUCGAUCUCGUAUUGAAGUGUUAUAGCCUUUGGUAGAUGUGAUGUUUGAGACCGAGGAUUGCAACGCAUACCCUUCAGGGCUAUUCGUCUGAUCUCUGAUACGUUGCCCUGAUGUUGAAAGCUUGCUUAUGAUGUUAGGGUAUUACGGUCAAAAGGUUAGAACGAAUUACAUUCGUUAAGAGGUUUGGACGUAAUACUCCCCACAUCAUCAGCAGGCUGUUUCAACAUCGGGCAACGUAUCAGAGAUCAGACCAAUAGCCCUGAGGGUAUGCGUUGCAAUCCUAGGUCUCAACAUCAAUCUCCAGAGGCUAUAAACUUCAUACGAGAGCGAAGCUACUUUCUUCAGUCAUUUCAUGACAUCAAAACAGAUUUGGACUAGCAUACGAAAAAGUACACCAGGAGCUUCCAAUCGCGAUCAACGCUUUACACUCUGCGAACCGACGAGACCGAACUCAGAUGAUUUCCGAUGUAGGACUGACUUCCCUCGUUCUCUAAUCAA